AUUUUUGAGAGUUUGAUCCUGGCUCAGGAUGAACGCUGGCUGUGUGCCUAAUACAUGCAUGUCGAGCGAGGUGCUUGCACCUAGCGGCGAAUGGGUGAGUAACACGUACUUAACAUACCUUAUAGUUUGGGAUAACGUUUGGAAACAGGCGCUAAUACCGAAUAUCUGUUUUUAUCGCAUGAUGAAAACAUGAAAGGAGCUUCUGGCUUCGCUAUUGGAUUGGGGUGCGGAAUAUUAGUUAGUUGGUGGGGUAAUGGCUCACCAAGACGAUGAUAUUUAGCCGGGUUGAGAGACCGACCGGCCACACUGGGACUGAGAUACGGCCCAGACUCCUACGGGAGGCAGCAGUAGGGAAUAUUCCACAAUGAGCGAAAGCUUGAUGGAGCGACACAGCGUGAACGAUGAAGCCCUUCGGGGUGUAAAGUUCUGUUAUAAGAGAAGAAAAAACUAGGGAGGAAAUGCCUUAGUCUUGACGGUAUCUUAUCAGAAAGUGACGGCUAACUAUGUGCCAGCAGCCGCGGUAAUACAUAGGUCACGAGCGUUAUCCGAAAUUAUUGGGCGUAAAGCGUCCGUAGGUUGUUUGUUAAGUCUGACGUUAAAUCUUGGGGCUCAACCCCAUUCCGCGUUGGAUACUGGCAAGCUAGAGUUAUAUAGAGGUUAGUGGAAUUCAAUGUGAAGCGGUGGAAUGCGUAGAUAUAUUGAAGAACACCAAUGGCGAAGGCAGCUAACUGGGUAUAAACUGACACUGAGGGACGAAAGCGUGGGGAGCAAACAGGAUUAGAUACCCUGGUAGUCCACGCCGUAAACGAUGAUCAUUAGUUGGUGGCAAAGUCACUAACACAGCUAACGCAUUAAAUGAUCCGCCUGAGUAGUAUGCUCGCAAGAGUGAAACUUAAAGGAAUUGACGGGGAUCCGCACAAGCGGUGGAGCAUGUGGUUUAAUUUGAAGAUACGCGUAGAACCUUACCCACACUUGACAUCUUCUGCAAUGCUAUAGAGAUAUAGUGGAGGUUAACAGAAUGACAGGUGGUGCAUGGUUGUCGUCAGCUCGUGUCGUGAGAUGUUUGGUUAAGUCCUGCAACGAGCGCAACCCUUAUCAUUAUUUACCAUCAUUUAGUUGGGGACUAUAAUGAGACUGCCCGAGUAAUCGGGAGGAAGGUGGGGACGACGUCAAAUCAUCAUGCCUCUUACGUGUGGGGCAACACACGUGCUACAAUGGUCGAUACAAAGAGAAGCAACCCGGCGACGGUGAGCAAACCUCAAAAAAUCGAUCUCAGUUCGGAUUGGAGUCUGCAACUCGACUCCAUGAAGUCGGAAUCGCUAGUAAUCGUAGGUCAGCUAUACUACGGUGAAUACGUUCUCGGAUCUUGUACACACCGCCCGUCACACCAUGGGAGCUGGAAAUGCCCGAAGCCGGUUAGUUAACUUCGGAGGCAACUGUCUAAGGCAGGUCCGGUGACUGGGGUGAAGUCGUAACAAGGUAUCCCUACGAGAACGUGGGGAUGGAUCACCUCCUUU
RNAcentral lists this ribosomal RNA (1517 nucleotides) under Mycoplasmopsis equigenitalium. Its description in RNAcentral is "bacterial SSU rRNA". It matches the Rfam family "Bacterial small subunit ribosomal RNA". The record is from RNAcentral. Lineage: Bacteria; Bacillati; Mycoplasmatota; Mycoplasmoidales; Metamycoplasmataceae.